UUCUCCAUUUACCUUGGUCCUCCAACGUGUGUCGAGGGCUCCGGAAUGAGAUGUGUCCUGGUCGCUCCCGUGCGCUGCUACUUCGUCUGGACUGGCAUGUCUUCAUCAGCUGGCUGAAUGAGGUCUUCAACUGCAGAGUCAUCAUCAUCAAUUCCUACAAUGAAAUACAGUAAUGAGCGG
Molecule: long non-coding RNA, 180 nt
Organism: Poecilia latipinna (sailfin molly)
Lineage: Eukaryota; Metazoa; Chordata; Actinopteri; Cyprinodontiformes; Poeciliidae
Exons: 2
Source: RefSeq, a predicted model, not a curated record